This is a long non-coding RNA of Protopterus annectens (West African lungfish), 147 nucleotides long. RefSeq lists it as uncharacterized. The transcript is spliced from 3 exons. The record is from RefSeq and is a predicted model, not a curated record. Lineage: Eukaryota; Metazoa; Chordata; Ceratodontiformes; Protopteridae.
ACGAAACCCCAUACACUGCACACCACAAUAACAACAAUAAAAACAAAACACAUCCCCAUUCCACAAACCACACACACAACACAAGCACACCAAAAUCCUUACAAGCCCACAGUAAACCUUACCCUAACCCUAAGGUCCGUCAUUGGU